RNAcentral lists this transfer RNA (65 nucleotides) under marine eukaryotic metagenome. It matches the Rfam family "tRNA". From Rfam's summary of the family: Transfer RNA (tRNA) molecules are approximately 80 nucleotides in length. Their secondary structure includes four short double-helical elements and three loops (D, anti-codon, and T loops). The record is from RNAcentral.
AGAGUAGCUCAGUGGUAGAGCACCGCUUUCGUAAAGCGAAGGUCACGGGUUCAAAUCCCGUCUCU